CUUAGUUGAUCUUAUUAGUAGUCAUAUGCUUGUCUCAAAGAUUAAGCCAUGAAUGUAUAAAUAUAAAUUGUUUUAUAUUGUGAAAUUGUGAAUGGCUUAUUAAAUAAAUAAUAGUUUAUUUGAUAGUACCUUACUACUCAGAUAACUAUAGUAAUUCUAUAAAUAAUAUGUGUAAAGAGUCCUGACCUUCAAAAGGGAUGCACUUACUAGAUUCAAGACUAAUGCAUACUCAUUUAUAUUCUCAGUGGUUCAUGAUAACUUGUCAAAUCAUAUGGUCCUCGUGUCAGUGAUACUUAAAUUAAAUUUCUACCCUAUCAACUUUUGAUGGUAGGAUAUAAUAGGGAAUUAGGGUUUGAUUUUGAGAUACAGCUACCACAUCUAGGGAAGGUAGCAAACGCACAAAUUAUCCAAUUCUGACAUUGGGAGGUACUGACAAUAAAUAAUAAUACUGGGCUUCAAAUUUUGGUAAUUGGAAUGAGUACAAUAUAAAUCUCUUAAGGAAGAUUCAUUAGAGGGCAAGUCUAGUGCCAAUAGCUAUAGUAAUUCUAAUUCUAAUAACAUGUUAUUAUAGUUAAAAAGCUCAUUUGGAUCUCAGGACAAGAUGAAUGGUUUCCCUAUAAGCACUAGUCACCCCAUUCUAUGAGUCAAUGAUGCUAAUUUGAUCUUUACUGGCUAAUGUGGAGUCGACAAUGUUAUUUUGAAAAAAUUAAAGUACCCAAAACAGACUCAUACUCUAAAUACAUUAGUAUGGAGUAAUGUAAUAGGACUCUGAUCCUGUUGUGUUGGUCUCCAAGAUAUGAGUAAUGAUUAGUAGGGACAAUUGGGGGCAUUUGUACUCUAUUGUUAGAGAUGAAAUUCUUAAGCAUUUGCUGAGGAUGCUUUUAUUAAUCAAGAAUGAAAGUUAGGAGCUCAAAUACGAUUAAAUACCAUUUUAGUCUUAACCAUAGAUGAUGAUGAUUAGGGAUUGGCAGAUGUUAUUUGGAUAACAACGCCAUCACCUCAUGAAAAAUCAAAGUCUUUGCGUUCCAAGAGGAGUAUAGUUGCAAAGCUAAAACUUAAAGGAAUUGAUGGAAGGGUAUUAUUUGGAGUGAAGCUUAUGGUUUGAUGAAGAAACUUACUAAGUUUAGACAUAGUAAAAAUUAAUACAUUAAGAGCUCUUUCUUGAUUCUAUAGGUGGUAAUUUCUUAGUUGGUGAAGUGAUUUGUUUGGUUAAUUUUAUUAAUAAACAAGACCUCAACCUAGUAACUAGUGUUUUUUCCAAACUAGCUUCUUAGGGAGGCUAUUUACUUUUGGUGGAUAGAAGUUUGAAGCAAUAAUAGAUUUGUGAUGCCCUUAGAUGUUUUGGGCUGCACAUGCACUACAUUGAUGAACUCAACAAGUGUAUGCCUAUGUCAAUAUUAAAACCUUGACAUUAACAUUGGUAGAGUUGAUAUUAGAGUGAAAUGAGAUAUUUCUUCAUAAGUAUAAUGCCAAAGAUAAAUUUUUGAUCUAUAAUUAGUCAGAUAGUUAGUGAUUAAUUAAGCCUCAUUGGAAAUUGAUAAUUUGCUUCACAAGUUUUGACAAAGAUAAUAUUGGUGAUUUGGUUGUAACUUUAUGU
RNAcentral lists this ribosomal RNA (1597 nucleotides) under Selaginella moellendorffii. RNAcentral describes it as "bacterial SSU rRNA". It matches the Rfam family "Eukaryotic small subunit ribosomal RNA", at positions 3 to 1597 of the family's 1831-position model. The record is from RNAcentral. Lineage: Eukaryota; Viridiplantae; Streptophyta; Lycopodiopsida; Selaginellales; Selaginellaceae.